UACGACGACAAAGAAC
RNAcentral lists this small RNA (16 nucleotides) under Arabidopsis thaliana (thale cress). RNAcentral describes it as "ATSL189230". The record is from RNAcentral. Lineage: Eukaryota; Viridiplantae; Streptophyta; Magnoliopsida; Brassicales; Brassicaceae.